Molecule: unclassified non-coding RNA, 552 nt
Filed under: Hevea brasiliensis (rubber tree)
Lineage: Eukaryota; Viridiplantae; Streptophyta; Magnoliopsida; Malpighiales; Euphorbiaceae
Source: RNAcentral
GUAGACUAUCAGAUGAGACAACUUCAGUCAAGACAGAUUCCUAUGGUUAAAGUCUUAUGGAGGAGUCAAUCUGUAGAGGAAUGCACUUGAGAGUCAGAGCGGGAUAUGCGCAGCAAGUACCCAUAUUUAUUUGAUAUGUGAUGCUGUGUUAUUGUUAUGUCUUGUAUAAAAUUCGAGGACGAAUUUUUUAUAAAGGGGGAAAAAUGUAAUACCCCAAAAUUUUAAGUAAUUAUUUUAUGUGCAGUAUGUGAGUUUUAACUAGUUGGAGGGUCCAAGAGGGGCCAGAUGAUGUUAUUGAGAUGUGAAUUUGAGACUUUAAUUUUAGAAGUGUGAUUUAAGCUACUUUGCAGGUUGGGUAAGUCCUAGAUAUAGGGGAAAUUCUGCGAAAUUUUUAACAAAAUCUGGGCUAUCUUUGACUCUUUUAAAGUUUUGUUUUAAGUAAAUAUUGAUAAAAUUUUUGAUAUAAUGUUUAGGUGAGCUGGGUUAGUCUUUCACCUCCCAGCCGCCGUAGUGACUAUCAGUUAAUUUGUGAAUAGAUAUUGAUUUUAUUUA